RNAcentral lists this ribosomal RNA (1150 nucleotides) under Escherichia coli. RNAcentral describes it as "partial 23S ribosomal RNA". It matches the Rfam family "Bacterial large subunit ribosomal RNA", at positions 594 to 1746 of the family's 2925-position model. The record is from RNAcentral. Lineage: Bacteria; Pseudomonadati; Pseudomonadota; Gammaproteobacteria; Enterobacterales; Enterobacteriaceae.
UGACUGCGUACCUUUUGUAUAAUGGGUCAGCGACUUAUAUUCUGUAGCAAGGUUAACCGAAUAGGGGAGCCGAAGGGAAACCGAGUCUUAACUGGGCGUUAAGUUGCAGGGUAUAGACCCGAAACCCGGUGAUCUAGCCAUGGGCAGGUUGAAGGUUGGGUAACACUAACUGGAGGACCGAACCGACUAAUGUUGAAAAAUUAGCGGAUGACUUGUGGCUGGGGGUGAAAGGCCAAUCAAACCGGGAGAUAGCUGGUUCUCCCCGAAAGCUAUUUAGGUAGCGCCUCGUGAAUUCAUCUCCGGGGGUAGAGCACUGUUUCGGCAAGGGGGUCAUCCCGACUUACCAACCCGAUGCAAACUGCGAAUACCGGAGAAUGUUAUCACGGGAGACACACGGCGGGUGCUAACGUCCGUCGUGAAGAGGGAAACAACCCAGACCGCCAGCUAAGGUCCCAAAGUCAUGGUUAAGUGGGAAACGAUGUGGGAAGGCCCAGACAGCCAGGAUGUUGGCUUAGAAGCAGCCAUCAUUUAAAGAAAGCGUAAUAGCUCACUGGUCGAGUCGGCCUGCGCGGAAGAUGUAACGGGGCUAAACCAUGCACCGAAGCUGCGGCAGCGACGCUGAUGCGUUGUUGGGUAGGGGAGCGUUCUGUAAGCCUGUGAAGGUGUGCUGUGAGGCAUGCUGGAGGUAUCAGAAGUGCGAAUGCUGACAUAAGUAACGAUAAAGCGGGUGAAAAGCCCGCUCGCCGGAAGACCAAGGGUUCCUGUCCAACGUUAAUCGGGGCAGGGUGAGUCGACCCCUAAGGCGAGGCCGAAAGGCGUAGUCGAUGGGAAACAGGUUAAUAUUCCUGUACUUGGUGUUACUGCGAAGGGGGGACGGAGAAGGCUAUGUUGGCCGGGCGACGGUUGUCCCGGUUUAAGCGUGUAGGCUGGUUUUCCAGGCAAAUCCGGAAAAUCAAGGCUGAGGCGUGAUGACGAGGCACUACGGUGCUGAAGCAACAAAUGCCCUGCUUCCAGGAAAAGCCUCUAAGCAUCAGGUAACAUCAAAUCGUACCCCAAACCGACACAGGUGGUCAGGUAGAGAAUACCAAGGCGCUUGAGAGAACUCGGGUGAAGGAACUAGGCAAAAUGGUGCCGUAACUUCGGGAGAAGG